Molecule: long non-coding RNA, 1247 nt
Organism: Planococcus citri (citrus mealybug)
Lineage: Eukaryota; Metazoa; Arthropoda; Insecta; Hemiptera; Pseudococcidae
Exons: 2
Source: RefSeq, a predicted model, not a curated record
UUAGGUUCUAGUCUUCUAGAUCAAGCAUACGCAUAACGUUGGCACCCCUGCAAAACCAGCGAUAAGAACCUUUUCAAUCUACCAUGAAAUUCGACAAAAUUUGACAAUCAUUUAUUGUGAAUUAUUGUUUGUGAGUAGUAUGGUCCCUCAGAAACCUUCACUGCUUUUCUCGAUAUCGAUAUCCGGAGAUAGGUAAUUCGUUUCGUUAGUAGGGACUUGUAUUAGUUAUUCGAAUUCGAUCCCUAUUGUUGAACGAUUUCUGGACGAGUUGAAGAUAUGACCAUGGAAUCAAAGAUUCAGAGAAAUCCAGUCGAGAACGGCACUUUCAAGAUAAUAUCAUUCAAGCGCCGCACCCCAGACGUCAAGCCAAAUAUAUUAUUACUCUUGUUUGGAAGGAUUGAAACAGUCGCGUUAGUAGAUUCCGGGUGCCCUUACGUAAUGAUAGACGAAUCACAUUAUAAUUUGAUCGUUGCCCGACAUCCGUUCCUUCGAAAAUAUGAAAAAUCGACGAAUUUAGGCGAAAGAUUUUUAUUGGCUGCUGGAAAAACCCAUCCUGAAAUCACGAGAAGAUCGGCGCUGGAAUUUUCUUUUGCAACGCAGGAGAAACCGCGGAGUCGUUAUCGAAUUGAGGUUUUAGUAACUAAAGACUUGACUUCCCAAAUGAUUAUUGGGAGGUCCCUAUUACGAGACCUAUCCGCGAUUAUCGAUAUGACGAAUAAUGGAAUUAGAGUCGUAGAACGAAGCGGAAGAUCGAGAAAGCAAAUUAUUAUUCCAUUCUAUCAGAACAGAACGACACUUCCGAAAUUCAGAAUCGACAACAAAUGGAGAUCGACAACAGUGAGCAGCGUUAACGAAAACUUCGAAUAUACGACGAGUAAUCUAAAGAUACGAGAAGCAACGCCGAUAAAUACAUUACACGACGAAUUCGAUAAAAAACCUAAGAUAGAGUUUAAAAAAGUCAUCUUACAGAUGGUAAGAAAGUUUGUCAAUACAAUGUACUUAGGCUACUACUACUGUAGUACACUGUACAGAAGGCAGCAGUUCGUCGACACUCAAUAAUUCAACAGUACGAAUUACGUAAAUAAGAUUUUUUUUUUAGAAGUUGAAAAAAGAUUUCAGUUAUUUGUCGUAGAUAUGAGAUGAGGAGUAGCAUUUUUAUUUUGUAGUUAUUUGUCGUAGAUAUGAGGAGUAGCAUUUUUAUUUUGUAGUUUUUUGUUUGAUUUUUAUAAUUAUAUCUGAGGAAGUAA